GAAAUGCGAUAAGUAAUGUGAAUUGCAGAAUUCAGUGAAUCAUCGAAUCUUUGAACGCACCUUGCGCUCCUUGGUAUUCCUUGGAGCAUGCCUGUUUGAGUAUCAUGAAAUCUUCAAAGUAAAUCUUUUGUUAACUCAAUUGGUUUCUACUUUGGUAAUGGAGGUCUUUGCAGCUUCACACCUGCUCCUCUUUGUUCAUUAGCUGGAUCUCAGUGUUAUGCUUGGUUCCACUCGGCGUGAUAAGUUAUCUAUCGCUGAGGACACUGUAAAAGGUGGCCAAGGUAAAUGCAGAUGAACCGCUUCUAAUAGUCCAUUGACUUGGACAAUACUUUUAUGAUCUGAUCUCAAAUCAGGUAGGACUACCCGCUGAACUUAAGC
Molecule: unclassified non-coding RNA, 378 nt
Filed under: plant metagenome
Description: partial contains 5.8S ribosomal RNA, internal transcribed spacer 2, and large subunit ribosomal RNA
Rfam family: 5.8S ribosomal RNA (bases 1-105)
Source: RNAcentral